UAACACCUGGAAACAGAUGCUAAUACCGGAUAACAACAGAUGAUGCCUAUCAACUGUUUAAAAGAUGGUUCUGCUAUCACUCUUGGAUGGACCUGCGGUGCAUUAGCUAGUUGGUAGGGUAACGGCCUACCAAGGCGAUGAUGCAUAGCCGAGUUGAGAGACUGAUCGGCCACAUUGGGACUGAGACACGGCCCAAACUCCUACGGGAGGCAGCAGUG
RNAcentral lists this ribosomal RNA (218 nucleotides) under uncultured Lactobacillus sp. Its description in RNAcentral is "partial 16S ribosomal RNA". It matches the Rfam family "Bacterial small subunit ribosomal RNA", at positions 144 to 356 of the family's 1533-position model. The record is from RNAcentral. Lineage: Bacteria; Bacillati; Bacillota; Bacilli; Lactobacillales; Lactobacillaceae.